AGAGUUUGAUCCUGGCUCAGGAUGAACGCUGGCGGCGUGCUUAACACAUGCAAGUCGAACGAUGAUCCCAGCUUGCUGGGGGAUUAGUGGCGAACGGGUGAGUAACACGUGAGUAACCUGCCCUUAACUCUGGGAUAAGCCUGGGAAACUGGGUCUAAUACCGGAUAUGACUCCUCAUCGCAUGGUGGGGGGUGGAAAGCUUUAUUGUGGUUUUGGAUGGACUCGCGGCCUAUCAGCUUGUUGGUGAGGUAAUGGCUCACCAAGGCGACGACGGGUAGCCGGCCUGAGAGGGUGACCGGCCACACUGGGACUGAGACACGGCCCAGACUCCUACGGGAGGCAGCAGUGGGGAAUAUUGCACAAUGGGCGAAAGCCUGAUGCAGCGACGCCGCGUGAGGGAUGACGGCCUUCGGGUUGUAAACCUCUUUCAGUAGGGAAAAAGCGAAAGUGACGGUACCUGCAGAAGAAGCGCCGGCUAACUACGUGCCAGCAGCCGCGGUAAUACGUAGGGCGCAAGCGUUAUCCGGAAUUAUUGGGCGUAAAGAGCUCGUAGGCGGUUUGUCGCGUCUGCCGUGAAAGUCCGGGGCUCAACUCCGGAUCUGCGGUGGGUACGGGCAGACUAGAGUGAUGUAGGGGAGACUGGAAUUCCUGGUGUAGCGGUGAAAUGCGCAGAUAUCAGGAGGAACACCGAUGGCGAAGGCAGGUCUCUGGGCAUUAACUGACGCUGAGGAGCGAAAGCAUGGGGAGCGAACAGGAUUAGAUACCCCGGUAGUCC
Molecule: ribosomal RNA, 775 nt
Filed under: uncultured Arthrobacter sp.
Lineage: Bacteria; Bacillati; Actinomycetota; Actinomycetes; Micrococcales; Micrococcaceae
Description: bacterial SSU rRNA
Rfam family: Bacterial small subunit ribosomal RNA
Source: RNAcentral